Molecule: ribosomal RNA, 100 nt
Filed under: Octodon degus (degu)
Lineage: Eukaryota; Metazoa; Chordata; Mammalia; Rodentia; Octodontidae
Source: RNAcentral
UAUUGUACCUAUACCACCCUUGAACAUGCCUGAUCUCUUUUGAUCUUGGAAGCUAAGCAGGGUCGGGCCUGGUUAGUAUUUGGCCUGGUUAGUAUUUGGU